ACACUAUAUGAGGAAAUUGUGAGGAAAAUGUUUUCUCUAGACAUGUUUUUAGAUUUAGAGAGAAACCAAUAGUAAUACAAACCCCAGUGUGAGGAUCCAGUGACAGCAACAGAAAGAUGCACUGUGACUGUUCAUGGCAGUCAAACUCUCAAUGCCUGAUGGAGAGAGACAGGCUAGUAAAUAGAAGUUAAUCGGUCAGAGAGCGUGAAAACGUCCACAGCUCCAUAGAGGCCUGCACAUCCGAGGCCCCUGGAGAUCACCCCUAGACCUGAUGCCGUCUUACACAACGCCAGCUUUUCUGAGGGCACCAACUCAGCUACCAGCUGGUGUUCUUGUCAUCUUGUGCAGGAGAAUAGAAAAAGGAAAGCUAAAAUAUAAUUUCAAGACUGAGUAUAACAGGCUGUUGGUACACCAUGAGGAAGACUUGGAGGGGAGGAAUAAGAGGUUGCUGAAGUCCUGAGCAUUACUUAUCUUCACCAAGAGAUGGUGGAACUUUGCCCAAUGUCUUCACAAUUAAAGAUGGCAUCUCUUCUCCAUUCUGACAUGAAGAAAUAUGUACCCCCUGGAUAGAGGGAGAAAUCCACAUAUGAAAGUCACUCAAGGACAAAGUUUGUCAGGGUAGUUUGGAAAUACAGCUUGAAUGCUGGCAAGAAGAGAGGGUAACUGAAGUCUGCCAAUUUGCUGGUGCCUCAUGUGGCUUGGAACCAACUUCAUCUGCAAAAGUGACAUUCCAUUUAAGCUGCUUGUCCUCCAUAAUUUAACUGGACACAUUUUCA
Long non-coding RNA from Cyprinus carpio carpio, 776 nucleotides. The record is from Ensembl. Lineage: Eukaryota; Metazoa; Chordata; Actinopteri; Cypriniformes; Cyprinidae.